Molecule: ribosomal RNA, 253 nt
Filed under: uncultured bacterium
Lineage: Bacteria
Description: partial 16S ribosomal RNA
Rfam family: Bacterial small subunit ribosomal RNA
Source: RNAcentral
UACGAAGGGGGCUAGCGUUGCUCGGAAUCACUGGGCGUAAAGCGCACGUAGGCGGAUCGUUAAGUCAGGGGUGAAAUCCUGGAGCUCAACUCCAGAACUGCCUUUGAUACUGGCGAUCUUGAGUUCGAGAGAGGUGAGUGGAACUGCGAGUGUAGAGGUGAAAUUCGUAGAUAUUCGCAAGAACACCAGUGGCGAAGGCGGCUCACUGGCUCGAUACUGACGCUGAGGUGCGAAAGCGUGGGGAGCAAACGGG